AGUCGAGCGAAUGGNNUAAGAGCUUGCUCUUAUGAAGUUAGCGGCGGACGGGUGAGUAACACGUGGGUAACCUGCCCAUAAGACUGGGAUAACUCCGGGAAACCGGGGCUAAUACCGGAUAACAUUUUGAACCGCAUGGUUCGAAAUUGAAAGGCGGCUUCGGCUGUCACUUAUGGAUGGACCCGCGUCGCAUUAGCUAGUUGGUGAGGUAACGGCUCACCAAGGCAACGAUGCGUAGCCGACCUGAGAGGGUGAUCGGCCACACUGGGACUGAGACACGGCCCAGACUCCUACGGGAGGCAGCAGUAGGGAAUCUUCCGCAAUGGACGAAAGUCUGACGGAGCAACGCCGCGUGAGUGAUGAAGGCUUUCGGGUCGUAAAACUCUGUUGUUAGGGAAGAACAAGUGCUAGUUGAAUAAGCUGGCACCUUGACGGUACCUAACCAGAAAGCCACGGCUAACUACGUGCCAGCAGCCGCGGUAAUACGUAGGUGGCAAGCGUUAUCCGGAAUUAUUGGGCGUAAAGCGCGCGCAGGUGGUUUCUUAAGUCUGAUGUGAAAGCCCACGGCUCAACCGUGGAGGGUCAUUGGAAACUGGGAGACUUGAGUGCAGAAGANGAAAGUGGAAUUCCAUGUGUAGCGGUGAAAUGCGUAGAGAUAUGGAGGAACACCAGUGGCGAANGCGACUUUCUGGUCUGUAACUGACACUGANGCGCGAAAGCGUGGGGAGCAAACAGGANUAGAUACCCUGGUAGUCCACGCCGUAAACGAUGAGUGCUAAGUGNUAGAGGGUUUCCGCCCUUUAGUGNUGAAGUUAACGCAUUAANCACUCCGCCUGGGGAGUACGGCCGCAAGGNUGA
Molecule: ribosomal RNA, 858 nt
Filed under: Bacillus cereus
Lineage: Bacteria; Bacillati; Bacillota; Bacilli; Caryophanales; Bacillaceae
Description: bacterial SSU rRNA
Rfam family: Bacterial small subunit ribosomal RNA
Source: RNAcentral